GCCCCACCUGCCAUGGGGACCCCGGCCUGAGGAACAGUGGCGGGAGCUCCGAGACCAGGGCGGCGCGAAAGCAUCUGGUGUUUUCUAGCUUCCCUGAACAUGGUGAGCAAAAGCUGCCUCCCCACAGCACCUCUGGGACCCUCUGACAAGCCAGGUGCAUGCCUGGCCCAAGACAAGAUGCCUGGGCUUCCCUGCAGGUACCUGACCUGGGAGUGACAUGGCUACUGGGCAGUACAAGACACGGGCUCUCCUCCUUCCGGGCUCUGGUGAGUGAGGCCUGAUGCAGCAGAAAGAGCACUGAACAGAGGAGUUAAGAGAAUUAGGCUCUUAUGCAAACCACUAACAAAUGAUAAGGCCUGGGGCAAGUCAAAGACUCUCUGGACAUUAAUUCUAUCAUUUUAUAAAUGAGACUGUUGGGACUUCCCUGGCGGCACAGUGGUUAAGAAUCU
Long non-coding RNA from Balaenoptera musculus (blue whale), 449 nucleotides. RefSeq lists it as uncharacterized. The record is from RefSeq and is a predicted model, not a curated record. The transcript is spliced from 3 exons. Lineage: Eukaryota; Metazoa; Chordata; Mammalia; Artiodactyla; Balaenopteridae.